UACCGAGCAAUUUAGACAAAGCAAUAGACAAUGGGAAUUCUGCUGCCAAUACACGUCCAGAACAGUCAUAUGAAAUCUCUCCAUACAAACAAUCAGAUGAUGAAAACGAAGAAGAUGACGAUGCUAUGCUAAAUAGUAAAUUUGUUCCAUCAUGGUCAAGUAAAAAUUGCCUGGCUCUGGCUGUCUCUUGCCGGAAUAGAGCAGACCCUGGGGCGAUCUUCCCCCGAGAAAGCUUUUGCAGCAUAUCUGAAGUUCUCUUGCCUCGGAAGCAUAAGCUAAACUACAAUGGAAUGCGCUAAACUCUAUUCAAUGUAUUCUUCGCUCAACUAGUCGAACAGCUUUUGGUGAAGAAGAGGUAACAGUUGCACUCUGUCUGCAUGUUACCGUUUUCAAAAGACUAUUAGAGCAGGCGAUCCCUCCCAGCAAAUUUGUAGCUGAAACUUGUAGAAUUGUUGCGAUGUAUAGGAUUCUCUUGUAACUGUUAUUGAGCUAACAUCAUGGAUACUUUGGUCAACACUGACAUUAUUUUAACAGUUAAAGCUAUGUGUAGGAGUUCUUUAACAUUAAUCCUAGAUUUAUUUAACUAGCGACCUAAAAUCCCAGGGGGUAAAGUUCCCACUGGGACCUCUUUAAAUUAAUAUUUGAACUCUAACAAUGACUCCCACAUGGAGAAAAUUAAUAUGAUAGCCAUAAUUACAACUUACAAAGCAAUUUGAAACUUUGUAUUCUAUGGCCAGGCCCGUUUGGUAACGUUUUAAGGAGUUGUUUUCAUUUUCAUAGAACAAAAAUGAGGC
This is a non-coding RNA of Prunus avium (sweet cherry), 794 nucleotides long. The record is from RefSeq and is a predicted model, not a curated record. Lineage: Eukaryota; Viridiplantae; Streptophyta; Magnoliopsida; Rosales; Rosaceae.